CCCGUACUUUUUCUUGUUUAUUUUAAUUUGUCGUAUAAUGUUUGAAACUACGUAUUCGUAUGGUACACAAGUAUUCGCGCUUAGGUUAAGGCUUUGAGGCCAUUAAAAAGGAUUAAGAAAUUUAGAGAAAAUCCAAUUUGGGUCUAGAAAAGUAUUUUUAAAGUAUCAAGGCUUAGGAUAAGCUCGGAAAAUUUUUCCCGAAAGGAUUUGAUGAAGUAUAGGAGAAAUAAGGAUGUUUGAAGAGAUAAUUUUCGGAGUGGGCUUGAGAAAAUUAAAAGGAAAAUGAAAUAGUAGCAGCCCAAGCCCAUUGGCCCAAAAGGAGGGGCAGAUUUGACUUUUCACAAUUAAAUUUGGGAGAGGUAUAAAAGCAAAACUUUCCUCACAAACCCUAGCCUCUCCCUCAUUUCUUUUCAGCUCUUUCUCUCUCUAACCGAGAGCCUCUCUCUCUACAAUCUCACCGGAAAUCGCCGCCGCCGCCGUCGCCGCCGCACCGCCGCCGUCGCCGGAAUCCGGAUUUCAACCAAAAUUUCCAGAUUUUCUUCUCUUCCUUCCCUCUUUCCUUUUCUCCAACCAAAAUCAAGAAAUUUAGCCAUUCAAUCCCCCAAAAACCCUAGAACCCGAAGCUAAAAUUGGGGCUUUUGUGAUUUCUUCUUUCCAAGCUCAAAUCAAGGUAUUUUCCAUCCUAAUCUAGCCUCUAAUCCUUCGAUCUAUACCUAUUUCUUCCUAAAUCCGAGAUUUUAAUUUGGGUUUGUGAUUUUGUUUGCAUGAACCCGAUUUCUCCUUGAACCAUCAAGCUAGGCUAUGGGUUUGGCAAGGAUUUUUGGUGAAGAAGGCCAAGGAGAAGGUAUAUGACGUGGUUUUUGAAGGAGAAAGGGUAAGGAAUGGGUUUUGGACAAACCCUAGAAUUUUUGGAAUUUAUUUGAUUGAUUUGGUUUAUGUUGAGCUAUUGUUGUUGUUGGAAAAAUUGUGAAAUUAGAGAUUUGAGGAUGGAUAAAUUAGUAGGAUUUUAUUAGCAUAAUUUUCUUAGUGUUGGAA
Molecule: long non-coding RNA, 1035 nt
Organism: Rosa rugosa (rugosa rose)
Lineage: Eukaryota; Viridiplantae; Streptophyta; Magnoliopsida; Rosales; Rosaceae
Exons: 2
Source: RefSeq, a predicted model, not a curated record